RNAcentral lists this ribosomal RNA (398 nucleotides) under uncultured bacterium. RNAcentral describes it as "bacterial SSU rRNA". It matches the Rfam family "Bacterial small subunit ribosomal RNA", at positions 355 to 770 of the family's 1533-position model. The record is from RNAcentral.
UAGGGAAUAUUGGUAAUGGGCGAAAGCCUGAACCAGCAACGCCGCGUGUGCGAAGAAGGCCUUCGGGUUGUAAAGCACUUUUUAAGGGGAUGAGGAAGGACAGUACCCUUAGAAUAAGCCUCGGCUAACUACGUGCCAGCAGCCGCGGUAACACGUAGGAGGCAAGCGUUAUUCGGAUUUACUGGGCGUAAAGCGCGUGCAGGCGGUUUGGUAAGUUGGAUGUGAAAGCUCCCGGCCUAACUGGGAGAGGUCGUUCAAUACUACCAGACUAGAUGAUGGGAGAGGGAGGUGGAAUUCCGGGUGUAGUGGUGGAAUGCGUAGAUAUCCGGAGGAACACCAGUGGCGAAAGCGGCCUCCUGGCCCAUUUCUGACGCUCAGACGCGAAAUCUAGGGUAGCA